CCCUUAGAUGUUCUGGGCGGCCCGCGCACUACAUUGGCACUAGCAAAGAGAUCCUAGAUUGAAUUCUUUGGGGUAUUCUUCUAAAUGGUGUCGUGACUGGGAUAAAUCCUUGUAAUUAUUGGUUUUGAACGAGGAAUUCCUUGUAAUCGCGGUUUAUCGGCUCGCGUUGAAUGCGUCCCUGCCCUUUGUACACACCGCCCGUCGCUCCUACCGAUGGAUCGUCCGGUGAAGCUCACGGAGUGACUGUUCACGCAACGGUUUACGAAGUGAAAUGGACCUCACGAUUUAGAGGAAGGAGAAGUCGUAACA
This 309-nucleotide ribosomal RNA is filed under the name uncultured eukaryote. Its description in RNAcentral is "partial 18S ribosomal RNA". It matches the Rfam family "Eukaryotic small subunit ribosomal RNA", at positions 1470 to 1796 of the family's 1831-position model. The record is from RNAcentral.